This 722-nucleotide ribosomal RNA is filed under the name Lutibacter sp. RNAcentral's name for it is "bacterial SSU rRNA". It matches the Rfam family "Bacterial small subunit ribosomal RNA", at positions 28 to 741 of the family's 1533-position model. Lineage: Bacteria; Pseudomonadati; Bacteroidota; Flavobacteriia; Flavobacteriales; Flavobacteriaceae. The record is from RNAcentral.
GAUGAACGCUAGCGGCAGGCUUAACACAUGCAAGUCGAGGGGUAACAGGGAGGAGCUUGCUUUUCCGCUGACGACCGGCGCACGGGUGCGUAACGCGUAUAGAACCUACCUUUUACAGGGGAAUAGCCCAGAGAAAUUUGGAUUAAUGCCCCAUAGUAUUAUUGAAUGGCAUCAUUUAAUAAUUAAACAUUUAUGGGUAAAAGAUGGCUAUGCGUUCUAUUAGCUAGAUGGUAAGGUAACGGCUUACCAUGGCAACGAUAGAUAGGGGUCCUGAGAGGGAGAUCCCCCACACUGGUACUGAGACACGGACCAGACUCCUACGGGAGGCAGCAGUGAGGAAUAUUGGACAAUGGAGGCAACUCUGAUCCAGCCAUGCCGCGUGCAGGAAGACGGUCCUAUGGAUUGUAAACUGCUUUUAUAUAGGAAGAAACCUUUCCACGUGUGGAAAGCUGACGGUACUAUAAGAAUAAGCACCGGCUAACUCCGUGCCAGCAGCCGCGGUAAUACGGAGGGUGCAAGCGUUAUCCGGAAUCAUUGGGUUUAAAGGGUCCGUAGGCGGACUAAUAAGUCAGGGGUGAAAUCCAACAGCUUAACUGUUGAACUGCCUUUGAUACUGUUAGUCUUGAGUUAUAUGGAAGUAGAUAGAAUAUGUAGUGUAGCGGUGAAAUGCUUAGAGAUUACAUAGAAUACCGAUUGCGAAGGCAGUCUACUACGUAUAUACU